GACGAACGCUGGCGGCGUGCUUAACACAUGCAAGUCGAGCGGAAAGGCUCCUUCGGGGGUACUCGAGCGGCGAACGGGUGAGUAACACGUGAGUAAUCUGCCCUUGGCUUCGGGAUAACUACCGGAAACGGUGGCUAAUACCGGAUAUGACCACUCCUUGCAUGAGGUGGUGGUGGAAAGUUUUUUCGGCCAGGGAUGUGCUCGCGGCCUAUCAGCUUGUUGGUGGGGUAAUGGCCUACCAAGGCUUCGACGGGUAGCCGGCCUGAGAGGGUGACCGGCCACACUGGGACUGAGACACGGGCCCAGACUCCUACGGGAGGCAGCAGUGGGGAAUAUUGGACAAUGGGCGGAAGCCUGAUCCAGCAACGCCGCGUGAGGGAUGACGGCCU
Molecule: ribosomal RNA, 389 nt
Filed under: uncultured bacterium
Lineage: Bacteria
Description: bacterial SSU rRNA
Rfam family: Bacterial small subunit ribosomal RNA
Source: RNAcentral